UCGAACGAUGAAGCCCAGCUUGCUGGGUGGAUUAGUGGCGAACGGGUGAGUAACACGUGAGUAACCUGCCCUUAACUCUGGGAUAAGCCUGGGAAACUGGGUCUAAUACCGGAUAGGAGCGUCCACCGCAUGGUGGGUGUUGGAAAGAUUUAUCGGUUUUGGAUGGACUCGCGGCCUAUCAGCUUGUUGGUGAGGUAAUGGCUCACCAAGGCGACGACGGGUAGCCGGCCUGAGAGGGUGACCGGCCACACUGGGACUGAGACACGGCCCAGACUCCUACGGGAGGCAGCAGUGGGGAAUAUUGCACAAUGGGCGCAAGCCUGAUGCAGCGACGCCGCGUGAGGGAUGACGGCCUUCGGGUUGUAAACCUCUUUCAGUAGGGAAGAAGCGAAAGUGACGGUACCUGCAGAAGAAGCACCGGCUAACUACGUGCCAGCAGCCGCGGUAAUACGUAGGGUGCGAGCGUUAUCCGGAAUUAUUGGGCGUAAAGAGCUCGUAGGCGGUUUGUCGCGUCUGUCGUGAAAGUCCGGGGCUUAACCCCGGAUCUGCGGUGGGUACGGGCAGACUAGAGUGCAGUAGGGGAGACUGGAAUUCCUGGUGUAGCGGUGGAAUGCGCAGAUAUCAGGAGGAACACCGAUGGCGAAGGCAGGUCUCUGGGCUGUAACUGACGCUGAGGAGCGAAAGCAUGGGGAGCGAACAGGAUUAGAUACCCUGGUAGUCCAUGCCGUAAACGUUGGGCACUAGGUGUGGGGACCAUUCCACGGUUUCCGCGCCGCAGCUAACGCAUUAAGUGCCCCGCCUGGGGAGUACGGCCGCAAGGCUAAAACUCAAAGGAAUUGACGGGGGCCCGCACAAGCGGCGGAGCAUGCGGAUUAAUUCGAUGCAACGCGAAGAACCUUACCAAGGCUUGACAUGUUCUCGAUCGCCGUAGAGAUACGGUUUCCCCUUUGGGGCGGGUUCACAGGUGGUGCAUGGUUGUCGUCAGCUCGUGUCGUGAGAUGUUGGGUUAAGUCCCGCAACGAGCGCAACCCUCGUUCCAUGUUGCCAGCACGUCAUGGUGGGGACUCAUGGGAGACUGCCGGGGUCAACUCGGAGGAAGGUGAGGACGACGUCAAAUCAUCAUGCCCCUUAUGUCUUGGGCUUCACGCAUGCUACAAUGG
The sequence is a ribosomal RNA, 1160 nucleotides long. It matches the Rfam family "Bacterial small subunit ribosomal RNA", at positions 62 to 1233 of the family's 1533-position model.